This 3168-nucleotide long non-coding RNA is filed under the name Rattus norvegicus (Norway rat). RNAcentral describes it as "long non-coding RNA NONRATT013454". Lineage: Eukaryota; Metazoa; Chordata; Mammalia; Rodentia; Muridae. The record is from RNAcentral.
UGGAGAUCUAAGUUCACGUAUUUGAUGAUUUGUUCUUGACUCUUCUGGUUUCUUAAUAUGUGAUGGGGUCUGUGUGUGUUCAGUGUCUCGUGAAGGCUGUCUCCUGUCAUCUGUGUCUGCACAUGCCUCAGCCAUGCUCAGCAGCGGACCUCACAUGCUUCCUGAGGUGGGGGUGCAGCUUGACGUGUUUUACAGAAUUUGGGCCAAAUUAACAGAAUGGGUAUUUUUUGUCAUCAUAUACCUGUAUAGUUUGGAAGUUAUACUUGUUUCUCUUUUGUUUUAAAGUUUGCUAUUUUACAGAUUUGUAUUAUGAGCAUCAGAAAAUAAUGUUUUAUUUUUUCAUUACUAUCUAAAAACUAAAGGGCAGAUCAAGUAUACCUUAGCAAUGUAUUCGUGUUUUAAAUUUUUUAUUUUAUUUUGUAUGUUGGUGUUUGCUUGCCUGUGCGGCUGUGUACCACGCAUGUGCAGUGCCCAAGGAGACCAGGAGCUCUUGCCCAAGGAGAGCUCUGGACUGGGGUCACAGAGGGCUGUGAGCUGCCCUGCGGGUGCUGGGAGGAGCUUGACUGCUUUAGAAGAGCUGUCUGUGUUCUCACCCACUGACCGGCUCUCCAGCACUCUCUCCCCCAUGUUACUUACAUAAUGGCCUUAGCACUUCCACAGGUCAGCGCUCACAACAGCUGUUCUGCAUCCAUUUGCCCUCCAAGCUGGAAGAGGGACCCCCUCUUUGGGGAUGGUAUGCAUUUUCUUCAAUUAAAGUUACUUCUUUUUGAUUAUUUGAGAAUCUCAUCAAUGUUUUCUGAUAAGUUUGCCUCCCACCCCUCCUUUAACUCUUUCUUUCCCACCGUGUGCUCCCGUUCCUGUCUUACUUUAUUUUCCCCACCCCACCAAGUCCGAUUUGUAUUGUCCAGAUAAAUGUGAGGCGCCACCCUCAGAGAACCUUGACUGUCCCUUCCUCAGAAGCCACAAACUGCCAGUAACUCCCCAACUGUGUGCUUUGGGGGCUCAGGGGAUGUGUGCCCAUCCGUGCUGGGAUGUUAUCUGGCUGGGAUGUGUAGAUUCGAGGUUAUUUCUUAGUCUGCCUUAUGCAGUCUGAUGUUCCUAACUGUGCCCCUUUGCCUUUAUUUCUUAGAGAUGUUUUCAAUGGGAAGAUUUUAUAUUCAAUGUUGUUUAUUUAAUCCAUUGCAGUUGGUGAAUGCCUUUUCCUCCUAGACACCCUGUAUUAUACCAUUUGGGGAUUAAGUCAAAGUUAAGUAUAUUUUUUUCUUACUUGAGCUCUAUAUAUGCAAUUCAGAUAUCUUUCUGAUGACAGUUUUAUAUGUAAAUGUAAUUUAACUUUCUUUCCGUGUUGACGAAGUUCUGUAGGUGUUAGGGUUAGAAGUCUCAGCACUCACUUCUCUCACUGGAUGUGCAGUGUGCCUGCCAUGGCGCACGGCUUCUCAGUAAUGAUGCCAUCUCUGCUACUUUUACAGAAGGAGAAGUUUACUUUUGAGGUGGGUAUGUGUUGAUAUCUAAACACUGUGUGUGUUGCUUGCUUAGAUAGGCAAGACACACUGCUGUGCGUGGCUCCUGUGGUGCACCUAGCCCAGGGGAACGUAGCCUCAGUACUUCCGCUGGCUUCUUCAUGCCUAAGAAGCAGGGGCCUUUCUUGUUUGCUGGGCUCUGGCUUUAAAAGUUGUCCUUUGGGUCUGGAGAUGUAGCUCUGUGACAGAACACCAGCUAAUGUCAGGUCCUGCGGUCAGUCUCUGGUACACACAAGCGCACACUCACAUGAUGGGGGGAUGAAAGGCUGUCCUUGUGUAACAGUAUUCGAUGGGGCGUUGCCUGGAUGACGAUGUUUAUGUACUCUGAAGGCAGAUCCUGAAGGCACCCUGUUCUUCCCUUCCUUGUGUAACUGAGUCUGCACUAGCUUAGCCACUGUUUUAGAGGCCAUCCUAGUGGGCGAACAGGAGGCAUCGCACUGGGUGAUGGUUUGCCUUCAGUCCUCAAGUAACAGCGGCCGACUUAUGCGAUGGCUUGUUUGAAAUCAAAUAUUACCAGUUGCCUAGUCUGCCUUCUGUGAGAAGGGGAGAAGGAAGGGUGAAGGGUGGAUGGAAGCCUUUGGGAACUAGUCUGAUCUCUCAUGGUCUCUCUGAGACAGUUUCCUCUAGCCGAGGGUUGGAAGUUGUCAGGGCAGGGCUGACUGCACAGGCUUUUCUUCUGUCAUCCUCGGGUUCUGCUAAAUCAGAAGAGCAAGUGCUGAUUGUCUCUCCUGUGGCUCACCCAGGAGUCGGUGGUGGCGCCUAGGCCUGGCCAGCCAGCCCAACAGCCUCGUUUCCUCCCUUCUGUCCUGUGUACUUUUCUCUUUCUACGUGUCUUUGUGUAGCGUCCACACUGACGGUUUUAGACUUUGUGGGUGGCUUUGCCUUUUUCAAGCCUUUCAGGAAAAAUCAUGUGACUGUUUGUCACCAUUGCCAUGGUUGGUUGUAGUGUUUUUUGUGACAUUUUUGUUUCUCGUUUUGAACUCCAGAUUAUUGGGUUUUUGUUUUAAUUUAUUUUUGUCAGAGGAAAAAUAAUUUAACAUCCAUCUCACAGGCUUGCUUGACUGUUCAGUUCCAAGGUCCUGCUCACUUUUUCUUGUCUUGCCUCUGCUCUGGCUUUCUUCAUGAUAGUGCUGGACGUGGAGCUGAGAGUCUUGUUUACUCUAGGCAAGCCCUCUACCUGAAGCCAGAGCCCAGCACUCCGUACCACCACAGACUUCUGAAGCUGGCAAAGUUUUAGAAGCUGGGAGUUUUCUGAUUCUCUCAUUAUUAAGUUUCUCCUCAGUCUUUAGAUAGAGGUAAAUGUGGGCUUGUAAGAAAAGAAACGAAAGCACGUAAUGUACACCUAUUCUGAAUUAUGCAAAUUAGCUCUUACUCAGGGUCAACUAAAUUACUUCAACUCGCCCUUUAGUUUACUCUUAAUUUGCAAAAAGAGAAAAAAGAAGGAAAACUAAAUAGGACUAUGAUUUGGGGAGCCAAAUUGAUAAUCUGAUGUAAAAGUUGCUGUGUUAAACAUAAAUUAUUAAGUGUAGACUUUUUUCCUAGGAUAUUGUAUUCAUUUUGUGAUAUCGCCUAGAAUGAUGUAUUAGAUAAAAAUCAAUUUUGUAAGUAUGUAAAUAUGUCAUAAAUAAAUACUUUGACUUAUUUCUCA